GGACCAUUCUAGCCCAAGAGGCCAUUCUCAGGUGCCAGACUUCACAGGGCCAGCUCAGCCACCAAGAGGGUCAGAGGAGACCCAGGGGGCCAGAGGAGAAUGGGGGGCCCUGGUCAACAUGGAACUUCUUGGGUAAACCACCACACACAAUGCAUUGAAAAUGAGCUCUUUAUCUUUUAGAGAUCAAUGUCUGAUAUACUAUGGGGAUGGGGCUUACUAUCAAGCAUGUCCAAGAUGGCUGCCAUUGUCAGCACUUUCUAGAGUUAUGAAGGUUUAUGACAGGCCACUCUAUGUUUCUAGGUUAUUGUAUCUCUAUGUGUGUACUGAUGGCUGGUUCUUCUUCACAGGUUGCCUAACAUUGGCAAGACUUGCUUCCUAAAUGCCACCCUGCAGUGCCUCCUGGUCCUGCCUUCCUUCUCAACGGAAAUCCUACGCCAGGAACAACUCUGGAACUCCUCCCCCUUCUCCAACCUGCUCAGGUGUCUCUAUCUGAUGUGCACCGUUUGAGUCUACCUGACAGUGGCGCAAACCAGGCCUCAAAAGCAGACCUCAUAUAUAUGAUUUGAAGUAUCUGGGGGACACGCAACAGGACGCACACGAGUUACUUGUGAAUAUGCUGUGCCAACUGAAGGAGGAGGGCAUGAUACUGAAGACACUCGGGGUGAACUAUACCUGCCCUGUUUCCCAGCUGGAGUUCCAGCUUGUCUCAGUGCGCACAUGUACCAGGGCGAAAAGGUUGAAUGAAUUCACAUGUGCGGGCUGCAAAGGCCUCUACAGCUCAAAAGUGGAGCAGUUCCACACACUGCCUCUGUGAGUUGCCUCUUUAUAACCUCUCAUAAGACUGGCAGUGUUUAAUGAAGAGUGCUCAUUGUGUCCUGAGACUUUAAGAGUAGUUACCUUCCUGAGCAGGUUGUAGGACUUAGGGAUGAGCACAACCGAACAAAUUUCACUCAUCUGUUAUUUUGUUGACUGGUUUCAUUGUCUGUCUGUUCCUCUCUUCCUCUGGGCAGUGUGCUGGUUCUGUAUCUGAAGAGGUUUGAAGGACCUGGGGGGUUGGAGAAGCUGGAGACUCCUCUUUUGUUUCCUUAGAUAUUUAUAGACCCAUGAAUUAUGGUCAUCUGGGUCUAAAAGACAUCCACUUCUUUGUGUACUCACAGAAUAACAAAAUAACUUAUACCUGACCAAGAUGGCUGCCAUUUCCAGCACUUUCUAGAGUUAUGAAGGUUUAUGACAGGCCACUCUGUGUUUCUAGGCUAUUGUAUCUCUAUUUGUGUACUGAUGGCUGGUUCUUCACAGGUUGCCUAACAUUGGCAACACUUGCUUCCUAAAUGCCACCCUGCAGUGCCUCCUGGUCCUGCCUUCCUUCUCAAAGGAAAUCCUACGCCAGGAACAACUCUGGAACUCCUCCCCCUUCUCCAACCUGCUCAGGUAAAGGGAAGGCUCAAAAGCAGACACACCCCCACCCACGAUUUGUGGUCAUAAAUUAAAGAAGGGACACUCUUUUCACGGCACUCGUAGCCAGUUAGGAAAGCAUUUUUUGCUAACCCUAACCCUUUCCCUAACCACGUCAUAUUCCGCUGUGUAUUGCAUUUAUUUAAUUAUUUCCAUUUUUUUCUUCUGAAUCUUCAUAACCUACCGGAACAACAAUGACACAAUGAUUAUGAUGUAGAUAUUUGUAGGCCAAUUUGGAAACUGUAGAAUGACUACAUUGCCCGUAAUAUAAUGCUCAUCGACUGAACAUUCCACAUUAGUUUGGGAAAUUUGGUAGUUUUUAAAAUGCUCUGCAAUUGAGAGCAGUAUCCAAACCAAAUAUAUUAGGAGAAUAAACAACACAUUUAUGUUGUUUUGCUUCAUUGUCAGUCCUCUAAGGUGAAAUUGCAUUGAAUCAAAUUAAUCAUUUCUAAUGAUGGGGUGCGGCUAGAUAAAAAAUAUUUGGA
This is a long non-coding RNA of Oncorhynchus keta (chum salmon), 1937 nucleotides long. RefSeq lists it as uncharacterized. The record is from RefSeq and is a predicted model, not a curated record. The transcript has 4 exons. NCBI's taxonomy places the organism in Eukaryota, Metazoa, Chordata, Actinopteri, Salmoniformes, Salmonidae.